CACGAGUGGCGAACGGGUGAGUAACACGUGGGUGAUCUGCCCUGCACUCUGGGAUAAGCCUGGGAAACUGGGUCUAAUACCGGAUAUGAGCUCGUGUCGAUGGUGAGGGUUGGAAAGGUUCCUGGAGGGGAAUGGGCCCCUGGACUAAAAGAUUGUUGGUGGGGUAAUGGCCUACCAAGGCGACGACGGGUAGCCGGCCUGAGAGGGCGACCGGCCACACUGGGACUGAGACUCGGCCCAUACUCCUACGGGAGGCAGCAGUGGGGAAUAUUGCACAAUGGGCGAAAGCCUGAUGGAGCGACUCCGCGUGAGGGAUGACGGCCUUCGGGUUGUAAACCUCUUUCAGCAGGGACGAAGCGAGAGUGACGGUACCUGCAGAAGAAGCACCGUCCAACUACGUGCCACCAUCUUCGGUUAUACGUAGGGUGCGAGCGUUGUCCGGAAUUACUGGGCGUAAAGAGCUCGAAGCCGUUUGUCGCGUCCUCCGUGAAAACUUGGGGCUCAACCCCAAGCUUGCGGGCCUUACUGGCAGACUUGAGCACUGCAGGGAAACUGGAAUUCCGGGUGGACCGGUUUAAAUGCGCAGAUAUCAGAGCAACUCCGGUGGGCGAGUGCGGGUCCUUUGGGCAUAAACUGUACGCUGAGGACAAAAAGCGUGGGUAGCGAACAGGAUUAGAUACCCUGGUAGUCCACGCCGUAAACGGUGGGCGCUAGGUGUGGGUUUCCUUCCACGGGAUCCGUG
This 742-nucleotide ribosomal RNA is filed under the name Rhodococcus (subgen. Prescottella) equi. Its description in RNAcentral is "Prescottella equi bacterial SSU rRNA". It matches the Rfam family "Bacterial small subunit ribosomal RNA", at positions 90 to 845 of the family's 1533-position model. Lineage: Bacteria; Bacillati; Actinomycetota; Actinomycetes; Mycobacteriales; Nocardiaceae. The record is from RNAcentral.